GCUUCGAGAUUGCGGAGAGCUUUUUUAACUCCGUGUACUGUCGGUUAUUUGACCACCGCUCGCUUACUCCCGAGCGGCUUUUUAU
Molecule: small RNA, 85 nt
Filed under: Escherichia coli str. K-12 substr. MG1655
Lineage: Bacteria; Pseudomonadati; Pseudomonadota; Gammaproteobacteria; Enterobacterales; Enterobacteriaceae
Description: small RNA AceK-int
Source: RNAcentral